Molecule: ribosomal RNA, 484 nt
Filed under: uncultured bacterium
Lineage: Bacteria
Description: partial 16S ribosomal RNA
Rfam family: Bacterial small subunit ribosomal RNA
Source: RNAcentral
AUUGAACGCUGGCGGCAGGCCUAACACAUGCAAGUCGAGCGGAUGAAGGGAGCUUGCUCCUGGAUUCAGCGGCGGACGGGUGAGUAAUGCCUAGGAAUCUGCCUGGUAGUGGGGGAUAACGUCCGGAAACGGGCGCUAAUACCGCAUACGUCCUGAGGGAGAAAGUGGGGGAUCUUCGGACCUCACGCUAUCAGAUGAGCCUAGGUCGGAUUAGCUAGUUGGUGGGGUAAAGGCCUACCAAGGCGACGAUCCGUAACUGGUCUGAGAGGAUGAUCAGUCACACUGGAACUGAGACACGGUCCAGACUCCUACGGGAGGCAGCAGUAGGGAAUAUUGGGCAAUGGGCGAAAGCCUGAUCCAGCAAUGCCGCGUGAGUGAAGAAGGUCUUCGGAUUGUAAAGCACUGUAAGUUGGGAGGAAGGACAGUAAGAUAAAACAUGGCUGUUUUGACGGUACCAACAGAGUAAGCAACGGCUAACUUCGUG